AAAUAACAAAAGAGAUGUUUAACCAAAGAAAACAAAGUGAACCAUUGAUACACUGUUUUUCAUCUACAGAUUGGACCUAGACAUCUGGAUUUUGAUAACGCUAUUUUUGCAGGAAUGCAUUUCAAACAUACAUUGUUUGUGAAAGUGUCUGAUGAAGGAAGUCCUGUACUAUCAACAAUUAUUACAGUCAUUGUAAGCGUGAGUCGCAUAAAUGAACUGAAUCCAAUUGGAACUGCAUCAGCAUUUGCCUUCAGUGUAUUUGAAAAUAGUCCACUUGAUACGCUAGUUGGAAAAGUUACAUUUACUCAUGCAGACUGGCCAUUUAAUAAUAUGAAAUAUACCAUUGUUGGAGGCAAUUUGGGAACACCUCCCAAAUUUUACAUUGAACCAGAUACAGGAGUGAUAAAGCUAUUAGAUUCACUAGACAGAGAAAUUGAAUCACAAUACAAGAUAGCUGUGAAAGUAACAGACUUGGACAACGAUGCCAUCCCUGAUCCCCUCAGACAGAGAAGUGGUACUGCUCAGGUGACCAUCAAUGUUCUGGUAAGAAUGAGUCACUGCUUGUGACAUUGUUAUCCCUUUGAAAGCACAUUCUGGAGAAAUAAAAAUGAGGGGAAGUUGUAAAUGGUUAUAUUUCAAAGUCCUUGGUAUGGAUCUAAAUUGAGAGAGUAGCAUAUUGGUCCAAAAAUAUUCUAAUUGUAACAUACAUUGAUACAAUUGUCAUUAUAUGCAAAUUAACCUGUGUGACUUCUAAACUAAUUUGAUUGUCUUACAAAUCUGAACUUGGAUGAAAGGUGCUGAUACCUCUGGUUGUAUUUCAGAAGUUGUUGGAGGGAUUAUUUUGUGGUUAAACAUAUUUCCAUAAGCAAGCAAACAUAUGUCCUAGAGCUUUAAGAAGUUACUUUGAUACAUUUUAAUCCAUUUCGGUGGUUUGCCUGCCUCUUCUCACCCUCUCUGGUUUUCAAGGAAGAAAUAUCUUAAUAUUUUUUACUAAUAAAGAUUCUGAGAGAUCAGCCUCAGAGUCUCACAAACAUGAAGUAUAGAGGCAAAAAAUUCUAAGUUUUUUUUUUAAUUAAUGCAAGGAUAUAUUUUACUUGGCUUGUUCAAGGCUUACAUCAAUAAAAUUCUGUACAUUACUUUCAUUGGCAGACGCAUAUAGAAAGAAAAAUUUGCCUUUAUAGGUAGUGCCAAUUUUUUUAUCUUAUGAUUUUGUUUACACUCUUUUUGGUGCUUGAGAACAGUAAGAAUUCUAACACUGGAUCCUAUGGAAAAGACAAUAACUUCUCAUGAAAAUAUUUAAAA
RNAcentral lists this long non-coding RNA (1302 nucleotides) under Macaca mulatta (Rhesus monkey). RNAcentral describes it as "lncRNA (ENSMMUG00000063255.1)". The record is from RNAcentral. Lineage: Eukaryota; Metazoa; Chordata; Mammalia; Primates; Cercopithecidae.